AAAAAGAAAAAAAAACAAACACCCCUUUUUUGCUCUGCUAGGGUUUCACCCUUAGCGUCCUCGCGCCGCCGUUUCCCAUGCCAAAACCUCCCUCAAACGCCGAUUGCAACGGAGCGAUGAGGGAUCGAAGGCGCCAAUAUAAGGUAAACUUACCCUUUUAUUUCUUUUCCUUGAAUAAACAAUAGAUAUUAACAAAAAAUCAAUUGUAGAAAUAAAAACAAGAGAAAACGCUACAAUGGUAAAUCACCUUCUGCUUUGGUUUCUAUUUUCCCUUGUAUUUUCUCUCUUGUUAGUGUCUAUUCCCCCCCUUUUACAGAUUAAAAUCGGGCUUUUAUAGCCGAAAUAGAAAAGAAGAAAAUCUAAAAAUCAAAGAUCAAUCAUUUCUGUUAUUUUAUCCGUAUUUUGUAGCCCAAUUUUUUGCACUUUGUUCUGUGUUUGUUGCUGCAGGUACUGCUGGAGGCGUGCACGCGACGUUUGCGGAGGUGCGCGAAGAGGGCAGUAGUUGCGGCGGCUAAGGCUGGAGGCUACUAGGGUUUUUUGUGUGUGUGUGUGUUUUAGGCUAAUGGGCUAGGGUUGGGUGUUGGGCUAUUCUAGGUUUAGUUGGGCCCGGGCAUUGUUGGGUUUGUACAUUAGUAAAAAUAAAACACAGAUUUGAACAUUAGAGACAACGUUGUUGGGAGGGAUAACCACAAACUUCGAACAUGGACCAUGAAACGAAUAUAAAACAUAUUAAAAAAAAAAGAAAAGAAUCAUAAUAGGAUGGAAUGAUAUUGUUAAGAUGAAUAGUCAUGAAUCUCGAACAUAGACCAUAAAACGAGUAUUAAGUAGAUUGGAAAAAAAAAAGAAAAAGGGUAAAGAUGUGUGUGUGGGGAGUUUUUGGCAUGUGUGGC
This 890-nucleotide long non-coding RNA is filed under the name Gossypium raimondii (Peruvian cotton). Its description in RNAcentral is "long non-coding RNA (GRAI_LNC001759)". The record is from RNAcentral. Lineage: Eukaryota; Viridiplantae; Streptophyta; Magnoliopsida; Malvales; Malvaceae.